This 1496-nucleotide ribosomal RNA is filed under the name hot springs metagenome. RNAcentral describes it as "bacterial LSU rRNA". It matches the Rfam family "Bacterial large subunit ribosomal RNA", at positions 535 to 1984 of the family's 2925-position model. The record is from RNAcentral.
UGAGUGAAAGAGAACCUGAAACCGUGUGCCUACAAGCGGUAGGAGGGAGCCUUCGGGUUCCUGACUGCGUGCCUUUUGCAUUAUGAUCCGGCGAGUUACUCGUCACGUGCGAGGUUAAGCGUCUCGGACGCGGAGCCGAAGCGAAAGCGAGUCUGAACAGGGCGCGUAUAGUGCGUGGCGGUAGACCCGAAACCGAAGCGAUCUACCCAUGGCCAGGAUGAAGCCCGGGUAACACCGGGUGGAGGUCCGAACCCGUUGCUGUUGAAAAAGCUUGGGAUGAGCUGUGGGUAGGGGUGAAAGGCUAAUCAAGCUCGGAGAUAGCUGGUUCUCCCCGAAAACUAUUGAGGUAGUGCCUCAGGGCAUGUCUGGCGGAGGUAGAGCACUGAAAGGACGCGGGGCCCCACCGGGUUACCAACUCCUAUCAAACUCCGAAUGCCGCUCAAGAUGGACCCUGGGAGACAGUGCACGAGCGAUAAUGUCCGUGCGCGAGAGGGAAAGAACCCAGACCCUCGGCUAAGGCCCCGAAGUGCGGGCUCAGUGAGAAAGGAUGUGGAUGUGCACUGACAACUGGGAGGUUGGCUUAGAAGCAGCCAUUCCUUGAAAGAGUGCGUAAUAGCUCACCAGUCAAGUGCGUCUGCGCCGAUAAUGGUCGGGACUACAAGUCCGCCGCCGAAGCCAGGGAUUCUGUCUUAGGACAGGAUGGUAGGGGAGCGUUCCAGUAGCGGAGAAGCGGGGGUGGAAACCUUACCCGUGGAGCGGCUGGAAGAGAGGAUGCCGGAAUGAGUACGCGAUAACGGGGGUGAGAAUCCCCCGCACCGAAAGCCUAAGGGUUCCAGGGGCAGGCUCGUCCGCCCUGGGUUAGUCGGAUCCUAAGCCGAGGCCGAAGGGCGUAGGCGAUGGGAAUCGGGUGAAUAAUCCCGAACCACAGGACGUGCGUUACCACCCGCAGGGGGGACGCAGGAGUGAAGCCAUGGCCGGGCGGUGGUUGUCCCGGUGCAAGGAGGUAGGCGGUCCCGGGGGAUAAAAGACCCGGGUAGCCGAGAUCUGACGCCGACCGGUCUCCACGGAGGCUGGGAGUGUGGCGAAGCAGGCUGCCGAGAAAAGCCUCGGCGGGGAGUGCGUCAUGUGACCGUACCGUAAACCGACACAGGUAGGCGAGGCGAGAAGCCUCAGGUGCGCGAGUGAUCUGUGGAGAAGGAACUCGGCAAAAUGUCCCCGUAACUUCGGGAGAAGGGGAGCCUCCAGUACUUGACUGCCGCUUGCCGGCAGGAGGGGAGGGAGGCCGCAGAGAAUCGGCCCAAGCGACUGUUUAGCAAAAACACAGGUGUCUGCGAAGUCGCGCAAGACGACGUAUAGGCACUGACGCCUGCCCGGUGCCGGAAGGUUAAGAGGAGGGGUUAGCCUUUAGGGGCGAAGCUCUGAAUCGAAGCCCCGGUAAACGGCGGCCGUAACUAUAACGGUCCUAAGGUAGCGAAAUUCCUUGUCGGGUAAGUUCC